This 87-nucleotide transfer RNA is filed under the name Tissierellia bacterium. RNAcentral describes it as "tRNA-Leu". It matches the Rfam family "tRNA". Rfam says of the family: Transfer RNA (tRNA) molecules are approximately 80 nucleotides in length. Their secondary structure includes four short double-helical elements and three loops (D, anti-codon, and T loops). Lineage: Bacteria; Bacillati; Bacillota; Tissierellia. The record is from RNAcentral.
GCGGGAGUGCUGGAAUUGGCAGACAGGCAUGCUUGAGGGGCAUGUGUGUGUAUACGCGUGGGGGUUCAAGUCCCUUCUCCCGCACCA